ACACUCCUACGGGAGGCAGCAGUGGGGAAUAUUGGACAAUGGGCGCAAGCCUGAUCCAGCCAUGCCGCGUGAGUGAUGAAGGCCCUAGGGUUGUAAAGCUCUUUCACCGGUGAAGAUAAUGACGGUAACCGGAGAAGAAGCCCCGGCUAACUUCGUGCCAGCAGCCGCGGUAAUACGAAGGGGGCUAGCGUUGUUCGGAUUUACUGGGCGUAAAGCGCACGUAGGCGGACUAUUAAGUCAGGGGUGAAGUCCCGGGGCUCAACCCCGGAACUGCCUUUGAUACUGGUAGUCUUGAGUUCGAGAGAGGUGAGUGGAAUUCCGAGUGUAGAGGUGAAAUUCGUAGAUAUUCGGAGGAACACCAGUGGCGAAGGCGGCUCACUGGCUCGAUACUGACGCUGAGGUGCGAAAGCGUGGGGAGCAAACAGGAUUAGAAACCCCGGUAGUCCCAU
This 449-nucleotide ribosomal RNA is filed under the name uncultured organism. Its description in RNAcentral is "partial 16S ribosomal RNA". It matches the Rfam family "Bacterial small subunit ribosomal RNA", at positions 333 to 798 of the family's 1533-position model. The record is from RNAcentral.